RNAcentral lists this ribosomal RNA (915 nucleotides) under uncultured archaeon. RNAcentral describes it as "bacterial SSU rRNA". It matches the Rfam family "Archaeal small subunit ribosomal RNA", at positions 1 to 922 of the family's 1478-position model. The record is from RNAcentral.
UUUCCGGUUGACCUGCCGCCGGCCACCGCUAUCAAGUUCCGACUAAGCCAUGCGAGUCAAGGUAUCGUAAGAUGCCGGCAAACUGCUCAGUAACACGUGGAUAAUCUAACCUUGAGUAAGGGAUAACCUCGGGAAACUGAGGAUAAUACCUUAUAAUUGCUUAAAACUGGAAUGUUUAAGCAAUAAAAGUUCCGACGCUCAAGGAUGAGUCUGCGACCUAUCAGGUAGUAGGUGGUGUAAUGGACCACCUAGCCUCAGACGGGUACGGGCCCUGGGAGGGGUAGCCCGGAGAUGGACUCUGAGACAUCAGUCCAGGCCCUACGGGGCGCAGCAGGCGCGAACACUGUGCAAUGCGCGAAAGCGCGACACGGGGAGCUUGAGUGUCUUGGCAUAGCCAAGACUUUUCUCAUUCCUAAAAAGCAUGAGGAAUAAGUGCUGGGUAAGACGGGUGCCAGCCGCCGCGGUAACACCCGCAGCACAAGUGGUGGUCACUUUUAUUGAGCCUAAAGCGUUCGUAGCCGGUUUUGUAAAUCUUUAGAUAAAGCCUGAAGCUUAACUCCAGAAAGUCUGAAGAGACUGCAAGACUUGAGAUCGGGUGAGGUUAAACGUACUUUCAGGGUAGGGGUAAAAUCCUGUAAUCCCGGAAGGACGACCAGUGGCGAAAGCGUUUAACUAGAACGAAUCUGACGGUAAGGAACGAAGGCUAGGGUAGCAAACCGGAUUAGAUACCCGGGUAGUCCUAGCUGUAAACACUGCCCAUUUGAUGUUGCUUUUCCGUUGAGGGAAGGCAGUGUCGGAGCGAAGGUGUUAAAUGGGCCGCUUGGGAAGUAUGGUCGCAAGACUGAAACUUAAAGGAAUUGGCGGGGGAGCACCGCAACGGGAGGAAUGUGCGGUUUAAUUGGAUUCAACGCCGGA